This is a long non-coding RNA of Lucilia cuprina (Australian sheep blowfly), 3403 nucleotides long. RefSeq lists it as uncharacterized. Lineage: Eukaryota; Metazoa; Arthropoda; Insecta; Diptera; Calliphoridae. The transcript has 3 exons. The record is from RefSeq and is a predicted model, not a curated record.
ACAUAAAUUUACUCCAUUAGUAGAGAGACUACACAGGGCAGGGAAAAGACCGAAACUCUUCAUGAAGUCUACGCCUAAGAAUAGACUCCGACUUAGUGUUGGUACCAAAUAUAAGGUGACUUCAUUAGAAUGAUUAUUAAAUUUUAUCACCGUUUUUACCCUUCCAACAAUUUUGUGUGGACUGCCAUCGGCCGUUUUAACGUAGGACAUAAACUUUUGGACUGGUAGACCCGUACUCUCCACUAACUCCAUACAACCUUUACCCAGGCAGGAAACGGUAGCUCCACUGUCCAAUAAACCAUCUACCUCGUGUCCAUAAAUAGGAAUUUUCAAAUAUACUCUAGCAUCUUUUCCUUCAUACAAACUUGUCGACAUUAUUUCAUGCUUCACUCUUUUCCUGAUUUUGUAACGCUGUAUAGCUUUCUUUAUCUUGUUAGAGACCUGCCCGAAGAUUCUUAAUUUAGCUUCAUUAUACUCAUGAAUUCUUUGAUGUAAUGGUUUAAUUACAUGAACUUUCGGCUUUUCAGCUUCUGGAGCUAAACGCUCGGAAUUAAUUAGAAUUCGAGUAGGGCUGGACGGAGGAUUAUCCGGGAUUAGGGUUGGUUUGAACGAGUCUCCCCCGUUUGGGACUCGUUCCCCUUCAGGUUUCCCUGACAUUUAGGACACCUAGGCGUGACUACAUCGUCUCUCCCGCACCGAAAACAAAAUAUGCGCCUAUUUGGUGACGGACAAUCCAUGAAGCUAUGGCCUGGUUGCUUGCAAUUCCAACAUACAUAGCGGCUGCUAGUGGCUAAGGCGUCUACUUCGAGAAUUGGUAUGGGCUCUUCCUCUUCGUACUGGAGUUCAUGGACGCGAGCUGGGACGGAAUGUCUGCCUUGAAAAGUCUGCUUCUGACAGAUAAUUAAAUUUUCGGCUCGUUUAGCCUGCUGACAGAACUUGUUGAGACUAGAAGUGGUCACGGAAAAUAGUAGAUGUGACAAUGACGGCUUUAGAUUACUUUUCAUAAUCUCCACUAGAUCUCGUUCUGAAUAGGGAUUUCGCUGUUGAUUUCUUAGCUUCAUCACAUCAUUGUAAAAACUUUCAAAGCUUUCCAUCGGCAUUUGGCGACGAUCCAUAAUUUGUUUUUGUAACUGGAACUCGUUCUCAAAUCUUCGGAACUGGGUAAGGAAGGCUCCCACCAACUCAUCAAAGGACUGUAUUGGCCUCAAAUUACGUAGGUUCCAAUACCAGUCCAGCGCCUGGCCUUCUAGCAGAUGACGUAAACCUUGUGAGGAUUGAAUUGGUGCUGGAAAAACUGGAUUCGCAUUUGGUGGUACAUAAGGCGGCUGUGCGUUAGAUGCUUGUCCUUGGGUUGUUUGAAAAUCAUUUUGCAACUGGUAAUUACUAGCAGGUGGUUGCUGCUCUACAGGCUGAUGGUUAAACACUGCAUUUGGCUGCCGAACAGAUGUUCGCGGCUCCGUUGGUUGAAGGACCGUUAUCGGCGGAUUAGCUGGAGCAGCAGCAUUGCCGAAUUCCUGUUGCAAUUCGGUUCGCAACUGCCGUAUUUGCCGUAGCAAUCCCUCCCGCACAAAAGUAAACAUAUCGCCUCCUGUGGUGACGAUGUUAACAGGUUGAGGAGCUGUCGGCGGAACAUUUGCUCGGAACUCUUGUUGCACAUUCCUGGCGGUGAUACUGCUGUAGUCAGACGAUGUAAUCGUGCUGUUGGAGAUGGCAGACUCAUUUAAAAACCCAGAACGUUCAUGGGCCAUAGACAUGAAUUGUAGUAGUAGUUGUCGUAGCUGUGUUGGCAAUCGUAUACGUCGGAUGCACCGUAGGAACUACAGUUCCUGCAGUGGUGCGUGUAAUGUUCUCCAUAUUAGAAAUAUUAUUAUGCUCAGUUUGUACACGAGUCCUAGCCGAGCGAGUUAAGACCAUUCCUAAUGAAUAGAAAUCUAGUUGGCGGAAUGACCCCCACAAUAAAAACUCAACCAAAAUAACAAAAUAUAAUAAAAUAUCAAAUUGAAGAUUCGUAUAUAUAACAGACCGCUAGUAAAAAAACUAUUUAUCUCUAUGAUAAAUAUUAGCAAAAUACUAGAAGAAAUUCCUCCUCUUUCCCAAAGGAAAACAAAAAAAAAAACAAAUCAAUUCUAAAGAAAGGAAGUAAAGAUUCAAAAACUAAAUCCAAAACUUUCGUAACGAAAAACCUAAAACGUUCUACAAAAAACUCAAAAUCCAAAUCCAAAAAAACCAAAGAUAAAUCUUGAAAUCUCAAAUUAAAUAAAAUCUUACUAUCGGCGGUGUAUUUCAGGAAAGUAAAGUUUGCAGGAGAUGCAGACAAGAAAAAAAUUAAAAUGGAUAAAAUUUUAGUAGUUGUUUCCCACAGAAAAACUUUUAAAGGUGCAACUAGAAGAUGGUUUGAUAACCUAGAACCUGUAGGACUACCCUUACUACUUCACUGCGGACAAAACGCAUGUUUCUAAAACAAAUACUCUAUGGACUAUUGUAAAAGAGGGGGCUGGCCUUAGCUAUACUUUCUUCACAACUUGAGCAUUCUCAGAUAUGCUAUGGAAAGCUAUUCUGAGAGCCUCAAAUUGUUUGGAAAGGAUAGGCUGAAGAAUCUAUAAUUCUGCAUGACCAUAUUGUUCACACCACACGUCGCAACGCGAACUAGACUAAAAUUGUCCUGUUGUCCGGGACUUACGUAGGUGUGACCAUGCACAAUUAUAGCUUCCCAUCUAUUGAAAUGGAGAAAAGUAAAAACUAAAUUUACUAUUUCGUCCGACGACGUCGCGACAAUUAGGGACUCUAGGUAUGACCUAACAGGACUUACGUAGUCAUGACUAAAUAGGAUUAGAAAACUAACAAAAGAUCAGGCUAUGGACCUACUCGGGCCCCACGUUGGGCGCCAUUUAUGUUGUGUAGCGGUUGUGCAAAACAAAAGAAACUAGUGUUGCCAGAGUGGUAGCGGCGCUGGUAUGCUCGCUUUCGCCGGGCUUGGAGCUCGCCGGAUGGGUGUGGUUCUUGCUACCACUCUAGACACCUACACACACACAUAAAAACCAUACCAGCUAAAAGAAAUAAACGAAAUAAACUAUAAAGGGGCACAGAGUAGGUUUCUGUCUGUCUCCCUGAUGAAACGUUCCUACGACCUAUAACGGCUGACAGAUGUUGUGCCAGGAUAAACCCUCCCACUCGGGAUUGGAUAAUCCCGCCAUGACAUCCUAAUAUUAGGGACGUCCCAAAAUUUACCCUGCAAACUUUCCUUUCCCUACUUACCGCCGCUUAUAUUGUUUAACCGAUCAUUUUAAUUGAUUAAGACUUUUAAAAAUUUCAUUUAAACAUUAUAAAUGUUGGAUUUUAUUAUCGAAAUUAUUCUCAAACAAACUUUAACAAUAUUAGAUUUAAAAAUUUAGUUUAGUUUUAA